RNAcentral lists this ribosomal RNA (1326 nucleotides) under Triticum aestivum (bread wheat). Its description in RNAcentral is "partial small subunit ribosomal RNA". Lineage: Eukaryota; Viridiplantae; Streptophyta; Magnoliopsida; Poales; Poaceae. The record is from RNAcentral.
AUGAGAUGCAUUUUACUCUUCUAUUUUUUUAGGAAGGCCGCAGAAAUAAGGUGGAAAGCUUUGUCUAAAGCAUGUUUUGACAAACACUCGGUGGCUGCUCGGCUCCCCACAUGGAAAGCAUGGCUCAUGAACAAAACCGGGCGGCUGGCUUUGGUCAAAUCGGUGCUCGCCGCGAUCCCGAUACAUCAACUGCUCGCGUUUGCGCCGCCCAAGAAGACCUUGAGACAGCUCGAAAAGAUCCAGCGCGGCUUCUUGUGGGCCGGGCGCGCCGUUGCUAAUGGCGGACACUGCCACAUCAACUGGCGACGUGUGUGCCGCCCGCUCGAGUACGGCGGGCUUGGGGUCCAGGAUCUGGAGCGCGCUGGCCUCGCGCUGCGCCUGCGCUGGAUGUGGCUCUCCCACACGGACGACGAUCGCGCAUGGCGAGGCCUCGACCUCCAGUUUUCCAGCGAGGAGCGCGCGUUGUUCUACGCAUCGACGACCAUGGUGCUCGGUGAUGGACUGACGGCACUGUUUUGGAAUGACCGAUGGCUCAAUGGUCAGUCCGUGCGCGAACUCGCACCGGCACUCUACCAAUGCAUCCCCAAAUGGCGACGCAAGUCAAGAACGGUGGCCGCAGGCCUUGCGGGCAACGCUUGGGCUCGCGACAUCCAAGGAGCGAUAGGGAUUCAUGAGAUUGGCCAAUAUCUCAGACUUUGGCAUGCCGUGCAGCACAUCAGCCUACCAAACCGGCCUGACCAGAUGCUCUGGAGAUGGACGGCUAGUGGCACCUAUACGGCACGGUCAUGCUACGCUGCAACCUUCCACGGAUCUAUGAAAUGCCCCUCCUGGAAGCUUACCUGGAAGAGCUGGGCACCGCGACGUGUCCAUUUCUUUCACUGGUUGGCUAGCCAGGACCGGUGUUGGACAGCGGAUAGACUCGCCCGUCGCGUCCUACAGCACCAUCCACGAUGCCUCCUCUGUGAUCAGGCCCCUGAGUCGAUGUGGCACCUGCUCCUAGAGUGCCCGUUUACGCGGCAGGUUUGGUACGACGUGCUGGCUUGGGCGAGGAUACUUUCUCAACCGCCAAGCAAUGAACCCAGCCUCACGGACUGGUGGCAACGAACGAAAGGGCAGACCCCACAGGCGCUACAGAAAGGUCUGCAAUCCAUCACCAUGCUCGUUCCUUGGAUGAUCUGGAAACAGCGCAACGAGUGCGUCUUCACGAAUGCACGGCCCUCGGCUACCGCACUCGUAGAUAGGAUUAAGGCCGAAGCCAAAUGUUGGGCACAAGCUGGCGCUUUGGGUCUCAGGGUAGUCCUCCCCACUAGCUGGGAUGUCCACUGA